RNAcentral lists this ribosomal RNA (465 nucleotides) under uncultured bacterium. RNAcentral describes it as "partial 16S ribosomal RNA". It matches the Rfam family "Bacterial small subunit ribosomal RNA", at positions 28 to 507 of the family's 1533-position model. The record is from RNAcentral.
GACGAACGCUGGCGGCGUGCUUAACACAUGCAAGUCGAACGGAAAGGCCCUGCUUGCAGGGUACUCGAGUGGCGAACGGGUGAGUAACACGUGGGUGAUCUGCCCUGCACUUCGGGAUAAGCUUGGGAAACUGGGUCUAAUACCGGAUAGGAACCAUCUUUAGUGUGGUGGUUGGAAAGUUUUUUCGGUGUAGGAUGAGCUCGCGGCCUAUCAGCUUGUUGGUGGGGUAAUGGCCUACCAAGGCGGCGACGGGUAGCCGGCCUGAGAGGGUGUACGGCCACAUUGGGACUGAGAUACGGCCCAGACUCCUACGGGAGGCAGCAGUGGGGAAUAUUGCACAAUGGGCGCAAGCCUGAUGCAGCGACGCCGCGUGGGGGAUGAAGGCCCUCGGGUUGUAAACUCCUUUCGCUAGGGACGAAGCUUUUUGUGACGGUACCUAGAUAAGAAGCACCGGCUAACUACGUG